Regulatory RNA element from Clostridium butyricum, 101 nucleotides. It matches the Rfam family "Purine riboswitch aptamer". From Rfam's summary of the family: Riboswitches are metabolite binding domains within certain messenger RNAs that serve as precision sensors for their corresponding targets. Allosteric rearrangement of mRNA structure is mediated by ligand binding, and this results in modulation of gene expression. A class of riboswitches that selectively recognises guanine and becomes saturated at concentrations as low as 5 nM. Lineage: Bacteria; Bacillati; Bacillota; Clostridia; Eubacteriales; Clostridiaceae. The record is from Rfam.
ACAUUCGUGAAUGAGUGAACUCAUAUAAUAGUGGUAAUAAGGUCCACGAGUUUCUACCAGAUACCGUAACAUAUCUGACUAUGAGAAAAUUCAGAAGUUAA